Molecule: unclassified non-coding RNA, 430 nt
Filed under: soil metagenome
Description: partial contains 5.8S ribosomal RNA, internal transcribed spacer 2, and large subunit ribosomal RNA
Rfam family: 5.8S ribosomal RNA (bases 1-120)
Source: RNAcentral
GAUGAAGAACGUAGCGAAAUGCCAUACGUAAUGUGAAUUGCAGAAUUCAGUGAAUCAUCGAAUCUUUGAACGCAUAUUGCGCUCUCUGGUAUUCCGGAGAGCAUGCUUGUUUGAGUAUCAGUAAACACCUCAACUCCCUUUUCUUUUUUGAAAUUGGAGCUGGACUUGAGUGAUCCCAACGCUUUCUUCCAAGAAAGUGGCGGGUUGCUUGAAAUGCAGGUGCAGCUGAACUUUUCUCUGAGCUAUAAGCAUAUCUAUUUAGUCUGCCUAAAAAACAGAUUAUUACCUUUGCUGCAGCUAACAUAAAGGAGACUAGUUCUUGUGCUGACUGAUGCAGGAUUCACAGAGACAGCUUCGGCUGACUUUGUAAACUCGAUCUCAAAUCAAGUAAGACUACCCGCUGAACUUAAGCAUAUCAAUAAGCGGAGGA